CAGUUAUAAAACUUUUUCAAGGUGAAGUAUAGGAGCAUUAGAACCACCUUAUAUAAAAGUCGUGUUUCUGGUAAGAUUGUAGCACUGUUUUUAAGCUUUAAAAAAAAGUACCUUUGGUAUAAUGGCCUCUUAAGAGAGUUUGUGCUAUGGCAUAUUUCCCGAAAUAAAAAGAUUUUUAAGAAAGAAAACCGAGGUACUCGAUGCACGAGUUCUUGAAUAAACUUUGUUAAAGAUGUGAUAUGCAACUACGGGUUUUAAGAUAGCUGGUUGAUUGACAAAUGCUUUUAAGUGCAGCUUUAGUAGAAUGGGGGCGUGGUUAUUAUUCACGCAGCUAUGUGCUAAAGGUGAUAAAUCUGGCUAAAGGUUGGGUUUAACGUAAGCUUUCUAAGUUAUUUAUUUUUUAGUAAGAGAAAUUGGGUUUAUGCUGCCCAUUUUGUUACAAGUAUUUAACAACUUGUCUUGCUUUGUACAAAAAUAAUAAUUCAACUGAGAAGAGGUUUAAAAAUCUUUCAUCUAUUUAAGAUAAUUAUAAAUUAAUUAUUAUGUUAGGAUUAGUAAU
This 559-nucleotide ribosomal RNA is filed under the name Talonostrea talonata. RNAcentral's name for it is "Crassostrea talonata 16S ribosomal RNA". The record is from RNAcentral. Lineage: Eukaryota; Metazoa; Mollusca; Bivalvia; Ostreida; Ostreidae.